AGAGAGAGACAUGCGCGCAUAUCAAUAAGCGGAGGAAAAGAAACUAACAAGGAUUCCCUUAGUAACGGCGAGUGAAGCGGGAAGAGCUCAAAUUUGAAAUCUUCAGGGUUCUACCUUGACGAAUUGUAGUUUAUAGAAGUGUUUUCUGUUAGUGGAGUGGCAAAAGUUCUUUGGAAUAGGACAUCAUAGAGGGUGAGAAUCCCGUAUUUGGUCAUUCCUCCUAGCGUUGUGAUACACUUUCAACGAGUCGGAUUGUUUGGGAAUGCAGUCCAAAAUGGGUGGUAAAUUUCAUCUAAAGCUAAAUAUUGGCGAGAGACCGAUAGCGAACAAGUACCGUGAGGGAAAGAUGAAAAGAACUUUGAAAAGAGAGUUAAACAGUACGUGAAAUUGUCAAAAGGGAAGCGUUUGACACCAGUGUUGUUUUUCCGAAAAUCAAUUACGAAUGUUUUGUUUUUGAGGAGUUAUGACUUCAUCGGCUUGCUCCUUUCUUUACGAAACUUUCUUAAUGCACUUUUCGGUUAACAAGUCAACAUCAAUUUCUUUUGUUGUAAAAGGGUAUGAGGAAGGUGGCUUUCUUUUCGGAGAAAGUGUUUAUAGCCUUGGACCUCUGCAAUCGGAGAGAUUGAGGUCUGCAGCGUAGAUCCUUCGGGGUUAGAUACAUUUGGGCUAAGUUAUAGCUUUCAUAGACAACUUGUUGACUAUGAUUCAGUCAUUGUAGCUUACUCGCUUAUGCUAUUUUACCUACGCUUAGGAUGUUGAUCUGUAGUGCGUGCGC
This 775-nucleotide ribosomal RNA is filed under the name uncultured Neocallimastigales. RNAcentral describes it as "partial large subunit ribosomal RNA". It matches the Rfam family "Eukaryotic large subunit ribosomal RNA", at positions 23 to 647 of the family's 3401-position model. Lineage: Eukaryota; Fungi; Neocallimastigomycota; Neocallimastigomycetes; Neocallimastigales. The record is from RNAcentral.